Ipomoea nil (Japanese morning glory) is the source of this 1764-nucleotide RNA transcript. It is a transcript of the gene named syntaxin-32-like, with no coding region annotated. The transcript is spliced from 6 exons. Lineage: Eukaryota; Viridiplantae; Streptophyta; Magnoliopsida; Solanales; Convolvulaceae. The record is from RefSeq and is a predicted model, not a curated record.
GGAACGAUUGCAACGUCCAGACCUUUACUACCGAUAUCAAAGAUGCAAAAUCGCUUGCUGUUACGGAGUCACAAAUGGAUUGAAACUUUUCUGAGGUGACUCAUCAAUUAAAGGUCAACAUGUAGCGUUGAUGGCCGCUGUUGCGGAAUGGAUUCCAGCGCUGAUUUCAAAUAUAUCCUCCAAUGUUCCCUCGGCUCCAACCAUCAUUCCUGUGGCAAAAAGAACAUCAGUUUUUUAUGAUCCAACGAUAGAGAUUCAAGAGUUGACAGCUGUGAUCAAGCAGGACAUCUCUGCACUUAAUGCCGCUGUAGUAGAUCUGCAACUCCUUAGCAACUCCCAAAAUGAAAGUGGAAGUAUGUCUACAGACACAAUGACCCAUACAACCACUGUGACAACCUUAAAAAUCGCUUAAUGAGCACCACAAAGGAGUUCAAAGAGGUCCUCACCAUUCGGACCGAGGUUCAUGUACCUUAUCUAUGUGGAUUUCUAUGGAGGAGAAGACAGAAAGGAUGUUAUCCAUCACCCUUGACAUCUCAGGAUUGAAAAUGUCCUGCUAAACUAUACAACCGCAAUUUACUUCUCCCAGAAUCAUUGUGGUUGUUUCCUUUUGAUCCUCUUUCCAACUCUGGCGAGUUCAUUUUCUCUGACGACUACGUUUCUCCGCCGCCACCACCACCACCACCGGAAUAUUCCUUUCCCUAGGAACUCGAAUUCCAAACCCACCCAAACGCCAGAAGCUCUAUCACGACCAUUUCCCACCGGAAAUUACCAGAAUUGUUUCGGCGUCGCUGUCAUUCCGAACCUUCCUCUAAUCCAAGACUUGAAGCCUCCGCCGCCGCCUCCUUCAUCGUCAUUGCCGUAGGAGAGCCUUUUGACUAGAGCGGUUCCUUCCCUGCGUAAUGUGAUCGCAGGGAGACUGAGGUGGCGAAGAAGAACAAUAGAGGAAAGUGUGGCGUGAAGACGUUGUCGGCUCAGAGCAUUGCGGCGAUGAACACUGUUUGGAAACUUUCAGAUGGCAGUGGCAGAAAUAGGUAAGGCAUCAAAACAUGAGGCUAGUUCUCUGCCUGAUCAAUCACUGUCAUUUUGCAAGAACGUGAAACCUAAAAUGUUUGAUUUAAAGAAAAAACGGGAAGGCUCUCAAAUAAGACAAGACCCUUCAGUGAUGAUGAAAUUGAUAUGGACUCAAGAGAACCUGGAAUAAUUAUCCAUUCCAAUGAUCCUGACAUGCAAAUAGAAGAAUGGAAGUCUAUGGCAGGUUCAUGUUUAUUUGCAGCAACUCCAUUGCUUUGAACACAUUCCAUGCUUGCUAGCACUUGACAUAGUUGAGGUAUGAUGAGUAUCCCAUAUUUGCUUAUUGCAUUUAUGUAAACUACAUAUAUUAAAAUGCUUGCAUAACAAUGAUAAUAUUUAUUCCAUGUCUAUGGCAAAUGGCUGAGCACAAAUCCCAUUACUGGAGAAAGGGGAAGCUGAACAAAGGGUGCCAUAAAAGUCACCACAUUGUUCAGAGUGACUGCUCUAGAGUUCAGUUUAGCCUAGCGGCAGGGAUGGCAUAUUUGUGAUUGCAAAGGUGGCGGAAGCCUACAAGCACAAGAAAGAAUCUAAGGAGGCAAUUGAACAUGCAUUUAGUUUGUGUUCAUUUCAUUAUCUUGGGGAUACUUUAGAUGAUGAUGAAACUGUGGAGAAUAGAUUACUCCCAGCUGCAAAUAAAAUAUGGUCUUUCUUGGUUUCUUGUGUUUGAAAUAAGAAUCCCCUGGUGAGUGAUUA